RNAcentral lists this ribosomal RNA (804 nucleotides) under uncultured Bacteroidota bacterium. RNAcentral describes it as "bacterial SSU rRNA". It matches the Rfam family "Bacterial small subunit ribosomal RNA", at positions 1 to 798 of the family's 1533-position model. The record is from RNAcentral. Lineage: Bacteria; Pseudomonadati; Bacteroidota.
AGGAGAGUUUGAUCCUGGCUCAGGAUGAACGCUAGCUACAGGCUUAACACAUGCAAGUCGAGGGGCAGCAUGAUCGAAGCUUGCUUUGAUUGAUGGCGACCGGCGCACGGGUGAGUAACGCGUAUCCAACCUUCCCUAUAGUAGAGGAUAGCCCGGCGAAAGUCGGAUUAAUACUCUAUGUUUUCCAAUGCAGACAUCUAAGUUGGAACAAAGGUUCACCGCUAUAGGAUGGGGAUGCGUCUGAUUAGGUUGUUGGCGGGGUAACGGCCCACCAAGCCAACGAUCAGUAGGGGUUCUGAGAGGAAGGUCCCCCACAUUGGAACUGAGACACGGUCCAAACUCCUACGGGAGGCAGCAGUGAGGAAUAUUGGUCAAUGGGCGAGAGCCUGAACCAGCCAAGUAGCGUGCAGGAUGACGGCCCUAUGGGUUGUAAACUGCUUUUAUACGGGGAUAAAGUGAGGGACGUGUCCCUUAUUGUAGGUACCGUAUGAAUAAGGACCGGCUAAUUCCGUGCCAGCAGCCGCGGUAAUACGGAAGGUCCGGGCGUUAUCCGGAUUUAUUGGGUUUAAAGGGAGCGCAGGCCGACUGGUAAGCGUGACGUGAAAUGUAGCCGCUCAACGGCUGAACUGCGUCGCGAACUGUCAGUCUUGAGUGAGUUCGAUGUUGGCGGAAUUCGUGGUGUAGCGGUGAAAUGCUUAGAUAUCACGAAGAACUCCGAUUGCGAAGGCAGCCAACAAGGCCUUUACUGACGCUAAAGCUCGAAGGUGCGGGUAUCGAACAGGAUUAGAUACCCUGGUAGUCCCU